CCACUGUGCAAACAAAAAAAGGCAACAAGCAUGCUGGGACCAUUCUGUCUGCUGUUUGGGUCUCACUUGUCCUGACAACUAAAAAUCAUCAGUGGAAAGAAGCUGGAGUCAUCCUAACAAGAGUGAUAGUCUUUCCCCAAGUGAGACCAGGCUGUGCUAUCUGGGGAAAAGCAUCGCUGGCCUUGCCGAGAUGCACCGACGACUCAGCUCACCUAAGGACUUAACCAGUACAGGACUUGCUGCAGCGGAGCCUGAGCUGGAUAUGGAAAGCAAAAGGGUGACAUGCAAAAGGAACAUCUAAAUGCUCUUCCUGUGAUCUUUGGGGAAAGCACCCGAGUAGAAAGAGUGUCC
Molecule: long non-coding RNA, 351 nt
Filed under: Pan troglodytes (chimpanzee)
Lineage: Eukaryota; Metazoa; Chordata; Mammalia; Primates; Hominidae
Description: long non-coding RNA NONPTRT002042
Source: RNAcentral